This is a non-coding RNA of Peromyscus leucopus (white-footed mouse), 438 nucleotides long. NCBI's taxonomy places the organism in Eukaryota, Metazoa, Chordata, Mammalia, Rodentia, Cricetidae. The record is from the annotation of a RefSeq genome assembly.
CUUCAUGUGAAGUGUUAAGAACAUUACUUGGUGACCCUAAAGAUGAAUACUUCUCCAGCUUUAGUGACUGUGAUGCUCCUGUUCAUGCUUGGGAGGACCCAGGGAGACUCAGUAACCCAGAAACAAGGUCAAGUGACUCUCUCAGAAGAUGAAUUCCUAUUUAUAAAUUGCACUUAUUCAGCCAUAGGAUACCCGACUCUUUUCUGGUAUGUUCAAUAUCCUGGAGAAAGUCCACAGCUCCUCUUCAGAGUCGCAAAGGCCAACGAGAAGGGAAGCAGCAGAGGUUUUGAAGCUACAUAUGAUAAAGAAUCCACCUCGUUCCACUUGCAGAAAGCCUCGGUCCAAGAGUCAGACUUGGCUGUGUACUACUGUGCUCUGGGAGACACAGUGGUGGAAACUGCAGGGGGAGCUGAGCACAAACUCAGCACAGGGGCCUGA